AUUGAACGCUGGCGGCAGGCCUAACACAUGCAAGUCGAGCGGUAACAGGGCUAGCUUGCUAGUUGCUGACGAGCGGCGGACGGGUGCGUAACACGUAGGAAUCUACCCAGUAGCGGGGGAUAGCCCGGAGAAAUCCGGAUUAAUACCGCAUACGCCCUACGGGGGAAAGCAGGGGAUCCGUUCUUUCGAGAGUGGACCUUGCACUAUUGGAUGAGCCUGCGUCGGAUUAGCUAGUUGGUGGGGUAAAGGCCUACCAAGGCAACGAUCCGUAGCUGGUCUGAGAGGAUGAUCAGCCACACUGGGACUGAGACACGGCCCAGACUCCUACGGGAGGCAGCAGUGGGGAAUAUUGCACAAUGGGCGCAAGCCUGAU
Molecule: ribosomal RNA, 373 nt
Filed under: uncultured bacterium
Lineage: Bacteria
Description: bacterial SSU rRNA
Rfam family: Bacterial small subunit ribosomal RNA
Source: RNAcentral